GAUGGAAUAGCUUAGUGGUAGAGUGUGUGCUAAGCAUGAACGAGGUCCUGGGUUCCAUUCCCAGUACCUCCA
This 72-nucleotide transfer RNA is filed under the name Camelus ferus (Wild Bactrian camel). It matches the Rfam family "tRNA". Rfam says of the family: Transfer RNA (tRNA) molecules are approximately 80 nucleotides in length. Their secondary structure includes four short double-helical elements and three loops (D, anti-codon, and T loops). The record is from Rfam by way of RNAcentral. Lineage: Eukaryota; Metazoa; Chordata; Mammalia; Artiodactyla; Camelidae.